GUGAAUCAUCGAAUUUUUGAACGCAAAUUGCACUCUCCUCGGAGAGUAUGCCUGUUUGAGGGUCAGCCUAUAAAAAUCGACAUCGUUGCUGUUUCGCGGUGGCGUUCGUCGGAAAUUGGGUCAUCUUAAAUCCUUUUGUUUUAAGCGACUUAAAAUUUUCUUUUUGUUUCCUGGAAGUUUUUAAGAUAUUUUUUUUUAAAAGUUUUAAGGUAU
This 213-nucleotide unclassified non-coding RNA is filed under the name Glomus sp. RNAcentral's name for it is "partial contains 5.8S ribosomal RNA and internal transcribed spacer 2". The stretch from base 1 to 65 matches the Rfam family "5.8S ribosomal RNA", at positions 84 to 154 of the family's 154-position model. Lineage: Eukaryota; Fungi; Glomeromycota; Glomeromycetes; Glomerales; Glomeraceae. The record is from RNAcentral.